This 15662-nucleotide long non-coding RNA is filed under the name Fragaria vesca (wild strawberry). Its description in RNAcentral is "long non-coding RNA (FVES_LNC000352)". Lineage: Eukaryota; Viridiplantae; Streptophyta; Magnoliopsida; Rosales; Rosaceae. The record is from RNAcentral.
AUAGGGUUCGUGUUUGGGUUGAUACAUGUGGCAUUGUUACCAGGGUGCCUACCAUUGGUUAAUUCAUCCAUCGUCGUCACUUUCAAAUAUGUGAAGAAAAUCAUAUGAUAUAAUACUGAAAUAAUGAAUUGUAUUUCCGUGCAGUACGUAGUUCGUUUUCCUCUCAGUAUAUUCUCAAUUAAUCUAUAUAAAUAAAGAACACUCUUGCCUUUUCUUCUCUCCUGUAUAUUCUAUUUUCUGAUAAACUACAGAUCAACAGAUGUGAUUAAUUAGGGUUUUCUUUCAGUACACCAUACAUAAGCAUCUAUGCUUCUUUCGUACAAAGCAGAUAAACAUUGUCAAUUUAUUUUAAAGAGUAAAGUGACCAAACAUAGAUUAAUCUGGAGAACAAAACUAAAACGAUCACUUCAUGAUACCAAACUUUACCUUGUUUAACGGACUACAUGGUGCAAUACAGCAACUAAUUAACCACGCACAUACAGAAGAAACUUCAUAUUUUGCAACGAACUAUUGGUAGAGGUGAUCGAUUGACGUACGUACGUACCAUUAGUUCUUCUCUCUUUUGCAAAAUGAGUUUUGGCUUCGGACUUUCCUUGGUGUCAGUUAACUUCCCUAAACAAAAUGACUCAGGAUAUAGUUCCUUUGCACAAGUAAGAAACAGAUCGUUAAGAUACAAGCACUAUGUCUUCGAUUAUACAAGAUUGUAUGUAGUUCGCGAUUUCUUGGCAAAGGAACGUCCAACAGGCACUUUGGAUCAAUUGUGCCACCAUACCAUUCACUGAUUCUAGUUUGUUUCAUUAGUUGUCCAUACUUGGAAAUGCUAAGCAGCAAAAUUAUAUUGUUGUUAAUUGGUUUCUUUUACAUGUUGUUCAUGUUUCAGUUUGCAGAAAUUUUAAAGAACUCUCUUGAAUUUUACUUGAUGUGGAGAGAAUUCCUUACUGUUAAGGCCGGCCUAAUUGUCAACUAGAGGGUGUCCAUGCAAACCAUUACUAAUUAAGACCAAGGUUCUAAAAGGCGCCAUCUUGUCCCGCCUAGGCUAUAGGCGAGCUAAGCCACCUGGAUUUUCUCUAAAGUGUUCAAGUAAGGCGGUCAGCCGCCCAGGGACCGCCUAGGUGGUCAAGGCGCCGUCAAGGCAAAGCAAGCGCGUCCAAGGCGGUCUUGGGCUAGGCGCGACUAGGUGAAGUCGGCGCUUCUGAACAAAAAAAAGAUCCAAUAAAAACUAAAACUUGUGGACGCCCUUGAGCCUCGUCAUGCUUUGAUUCCCGAAGAUGCCUCGGUGUUGUCCACCAUCGGAGCCACGAUUAACUUGGGUUGGAUGAAGCAGAGGAUGUUGUCGAGGUAGUCGGGAAUGUUCGGUGGUUGAGUAGUGAGGCCAUUUGAGAUUUGGGUUUGAGGGUGAGGUUUUGCUAGAGGAUUGAGAAGUUUGAAUUCCAUGAGAGGACGAUUCUGGAAAUGCUCCUCUACUGUGUAUUGCAGAAUUGAAGCAGAGGAGAUCAUUUACCAGAUCUGGGUUUGUUUGAUUUUUUUUCUUUUUUGAAUUGAAGCAGACGAGAUCAUUUACCAGAUCUGGGUUCGUUUGAUUUUUUUUUUUCUUUUUCUGGGAAUGAAGAGGCAAGAAAGGGGAUAGAUGUUUAGUCGAAAAAAGAAUGAGAUAGAUGUGAAGAAGAAUUGGUAAGAAUGUUUUUGCUUACUUUCAUUGAUACAGUACAGCUAUAUAUACAAGAAUUAGGACCAUUUUAGAUCCUGAAGAUUAGCAAUCAUAUUAAGGAUUUGCUGUCAAUUUCUAUCCUACAAAUAUGCAUCAAUUACAUCUCUAUGAUUUUGCAUAUCCCCUUAGAUAGAAUGCGGCUAUUGAGACUUCCAAAUUUGCUCAGUAUACCUCUCAUGUUAUUUAUACCUCCUUUUUAAUUUUAACUACAAACAUUUGCUCAUUAGACCUCAUUUCAAAUUUCUAAAAUAACCUUAGGUAUGUUAUUCAUAUAUAUCUUGAUAAUUUACUCAUUAUACCUCUUAUUUAUUCUCUAGACCUCUCAUUCUUUUUAAUUUUUUUUUUCUUUUUGCAUGCUGUCAUCGAGACCUCUAUUCCUUUAUUUUUUUUUUUUCAUUCAAACCACUUUCACGACCUCAAUUCCUUGAUAUUUUUUUAUUUCCCAUAGAAUGUCACCAAACCUCCAUUAUUUGAUCAAUUUGUAAGAAAUUUUUUUCAAUGACGUCAAUUUUUCUCUUAAAAAUCAAAUAACACAAAGUAUUGGGUUUCAAAAACUUAUAUUUAUCAACCCAGUACCGUCUCUUCUUAUAACUGAGAGGUCAUGAGUUCGACUCACAGUCAGUGACGUAGCCAGAGUAGGACGAGGAGGUUCAUAUGACCCCUCUAAGUUUUUGACCAAACCAUGAUUGGUGGGUAUAAUUAGAGGUUGUGCAUGCAUAUAUUAUAUUUUGAUGUAAUUUUUGACCCUUGUAACUUAAGAGAAAAGAAAGUGUUUUAAAAUGUUUGGCUCAUUCACUAUGAAUAUGUGGAGGGGACUCAUUGAUUAUGUUUUUAUUACAUUUUUGUCAUUGCCUGAUUAAUCGAUGAAUGUUCUUUGUUAUAUUUUCGUCUUCUAGUUUAUAUAUGUUUUUCNNNNNNNNNNNNNNNNNNNNANAUAUAUAUAUAUAUAUAUAUAUAUAUAUAUAUAUAUAUAUAGUGAAAGAAUAUUUGAUAACGAAACCGGCCAUCAAAGAAAAAAAAUAUAACAUAUGAGGAAUUGUCAUGAACAGAUUUAGUUGUUUAGAGAAACUUGUCAUUUUUUCAUAUUGUAAUGAUUUAUGUUCUUAAACUAUCUAAAGCAUAAACAAAUUCAUGCAAGUUUUUUUAUUUAAUGAUAUUUUUGUUUAAUAUGAUCUUCGCUAUUUAUAUAUAUUCUGACCCUUCUAGUUGGUUUUUCUGGCUACGCCACUGCUCACAGUAGACUCGUUGUAGCAUAUUAGUUGUUUAUAUGAUAAAAAAAAAAUUAUAUUUACCAACAAGAAAAUAUUCUAUCAUAAAUUAGCUUUUUUAUUUCUAUUUUACUUGUGCUAAACAACGAUUAAGGAUAACAAUUGUAUACUAUAUAUGUUUUUUUUUCCCUCUAUAUAUUUUAUGUACAUCAUGAAAUUAUUUCAAUAGUUAUUUAAUUUUUCAUUAUCGAUAUCUUUUUGCAUAUAUAUUCUUUCACCUAUCUACUAUCAACAUGUAUGAUAGUAGAAAAUUUUAUGUCACACGGUCGAUAUUUAUCAUAGUUUUAGCUUUAAUUAAAUAUAUAAUAUGUAAUAAAAUUUAGAAAAUAGUAAAUUAGAAAUUAAAAAUAUACAAGGAAAAUAAGAAAGAAUACAAUCAAUUAAUUAUCAAAUUGGAAAGUCUAGAGAGAAUAAAUAUACUUCUUUUUGUAUGAUUAUUGUUCUUAAUAGUCAUUACGUAAGAGGAAAUAAUUGUCAUUCAAUAACUCAUAACAAAGGGAAGUCAAGUGAGCAAAUUUGGAGGUCUCAAUAGCCGCACUCCCUUAGAUAAAACUGAUUACUAAGAGAUACAAAUCAGUGAUUAUGCAGCAGAAAUUUAGCACAAGAUUAUUGCUUAUCACCCCCCCAACAAGCUAAUGGUCCGUGGGCGAACAGGAAGCUUGUCAAGAAGGUACUGAAAUCUGUUGGUGGAUAGACCUUUGGUGAAUAUAUCUGCCAGUUGAUCUUGAGAACAUAUAUAGCAAACUUGAAUUUCCUUACGCACCACAUUUUCUCUUAUAUAAUGAUAGCUAGUCAACCUCCACAUGACAUGUGCGGGUAUGGAAGACUGGAUUGGAAGCUAAAGAAAUAGCACUGAUGUUAUCACACCAUAAUUUAGGAGGUUGAAGUGGAAUUCGUAAGGCACGAAAUAGGAUGCGAAACCAAGAGAGAUGAGCAGCUGUGUAGGCCAGUUGGCGAUAAUCUACCUCCGUGUUUGAGCGGGAAACACCUGCUUGCUUUAAUUUUAGAGCUCCAGGAAAUCAGAUUUUUUCCUAAAUAAAUACAUGUACAUGCCACCAGUUGAAAUUCUAGUGUUUGGAUCCCCAGCAUAAUCAAAAUCACUAUAGCCAGUGAUAUGCAAAGAGCUUGGGGUGUAAAAUAAGCCAUAGGUAGGAGUGUGUUUUAGGUAACGGAGAAUCCCAGCAACCCAAUGGAUAGUAGUUGGAGAAUGAAGAAACUGGCAAACCUGAUUAACAGCAUAAGAGAUAUCAGGUCGAGUGAUGGUUAAAUACUGCAAGGCUCCUACCACGCUGCGAUACUCAGUGCCAUCUGGAAGAGGAGUUCUGUCAGUGAUGCUAAGACGCUUGUUACUUGUUGGGGUAGAAGCAGGUCGUACAUUAGUUAUAUUGGUACGAUGGAGAAGAUCUAGGUGUACUUUGUUUGUGUGAGAGCAAGGCCACUAGAGGAGCGCACUGCUUCAAUUCCCAUGAAAUAGUGCAAAAGGCCCAAGUCCUUCAUUGAGAAUAGUUUACCCAAAUUGGCAAUGAUAUUGUUGAUGUGAGCAAGAUGAGUACCAGUAUUGAGGAUAUCAUCUACAUAUAUAUAUCAGAAGAUAAAGCUUGAUGGAGCCUGAGUGAUAAGUGAAAAGAGAGGAAUCGGCAUGAGAGGCAGUGAACCCCAAUUCUUCCAAAUAGGCAGAGAAACAAGAGAACCAAGCACGAGGGGCUUGUUUGAGGCCAUACAAGCUGCGUCGUAGUUUGCAAACAUGUUUGGGAUACUGGGAAUCAAUAAAACCUUGCGGUUGCUGCAUAUAGGCAUCUUCUGACAAAUAUCCAUGUAAGAAGGCAUUUUGCACAUCCAAUUGUCUUAUAGUCCAACCAAAGGAGACAACAAUAGCUAAAAUUAAUCUAAUGGAAAAAUGUUUGAUUACCGGACUGAAUGUUUCACCAUAGUCAAUACCUUCUUGCUGCUGAAAGCCCUUGGCAACCAGCCGGGCUUUGUAUCGCUCCACCGAGCCGUCAGGCUUCCUCUUUAUGCGAUAAACCCAUUUAUUGGGAAGAAUGUUCAUUGAACUGGAAGAUGGUACAAGUUCCCAUGUACUUGCUUGAAUCAAAGCAUUAAAUUCUGCACUCAUUGUCGAGCGCCAUUCUUCCUGCUUCACUGCUUGAUUGAAACAUGUGGGUUCAAUUUGGUGAGUAAGAAAGGUGACUACCAUAGCAUACUUCGGAUUGGGUUUCUGAAUCCCUCGCUGGCUACGGGUUACAGGUGCAGAUGGCUCCAAGGAGGAUGAUUGAGGAUUGGAGGUAAAAUGUUGUAUCUCUGGUGGCGGAAGAGAAAGUUGAGAGAUAGGGUUGACAGGUGCCGAUGUGGUUGAUACAUGCCGGCGGCGAUAGGUUUGAAUAGGUGGAGCAGUGGGUUGGGUGGAGAGUGUAUUUUGGUUAUGUGAGGAAUUGGGAGCAAUAAUCUCGGUGGUGAGGGGAUUGAAAUGGUUUGCUGUUGAUGGGCUUAAGGUUUGGGCUUGUGAUGGAGGAAAUUGGGUGAUUGUGGUAGUAGUUACUAUGAGAGGAUUUGGAUCAUGCCUGGUAGCUGUCGUUGGAGAGGAAGUGCUAGUGGAUUCUUUGAAGGAAAAAGAGGACUCAUCAAAGAUUACAUGACGGGAGAGAUAAACAAGACCAGAAGACAAGUCUAAGCAACGAUAUCCUUUGUGAUGUAAGGAAUAACCGAGAAAAACACACUUUGUAGAGCGAAAAUCCAAUUUGUUCUUGUUAUAAGGACGAAGAUAAGGAUAGCAAGAGCAGCCAAAUGUACAAAGAGAAGAGUAAGUGGGUGUACUUUGAAAUAAUUUUUCAUAUGGAGAAAGAAAAUUUAAGACACGAGUUGGAAGUCUAUUUAUGAGAUAAAGAGCAGUGUUAAGGGCCUCAACCCAAUAUGUUUUGGGAACUGAAGCGUGAGCAAGAAGAGUAAGAGCAGUUUCAACAAGAUGACGAUGCUUUCGUUUGGCUAAACCAUUUUGUUUUGGAUGAUGGGGGCACGAGAUUCGAUGGUGAAUACCUUUUUGAAGGAAGAAAUUCUUGAAUGCAUUACUUGUGUAUUCACCACCACCAUUAGAUUAAAAUUGUUUGAUUGUUGUAGAAAACUGAUUUUGAAUGUAGGUGAAGAAAGCAGUGAAAAUAGAGAGAACUUCAGAUUUAUAUUUAAUGGGAAAAAGCCAUGUAUAACCGGAGAAAUAAUCAAUAAAGACAACAUAAUAUUUAAAGCCUUGUAUUGAUAGAUGAGGAAAGGUCCAUACAUCACUAUGAAUUAAAUCAAAUGCAGACAAGGAAACAGAUUCGGACAAGGAAAAAGGUAAUUUUGUGGGUUUUCCAAGGGACAUGAGUGACACAUCGAUGGGAGUUUAUUUUCUAACAACAAUAACCUAGAGGAAAGAUGACGAAAAAUAUUUGUUGAGGGAUGGCCAAGUCGUGAGUGCCAGAUAUUUGCAGCUACACGAGUGACUGAAAGAGUGGUGAAAAGGCUUGAUUUAUUUGAAGAUGGACCAUUAUUGAUUGGAUAGAAUCCAUUAGCACUCGGACCCUCCAAAAGCGUCCUCCCGGAAUGCAUGUCCUUCACAUAAAAGGCAUUGGGUAAGAUUAAUAUAUAACAUGAAUUAUCAGUUAAUAAUUUGUAAGCAGAGAGAAUAUUGGCAGAGGAAUUUGGGCAGUAUAAAACAUCAGAGAGAGUAAUAGGUGAGGUAGGAGAAUUAAGAGAAGUGGUUCCAAUUUUGGAGAUCUGCAAACCUGGACCAGAAACAACACCUCCAACAGUGUCCAUGCCAUUUUAUGGACGAGCAUCAGUGAGGGCAUUGGGAUCAUUGGUAAUAUGAGUAUUUAAACCCGUGUCAAGGAGCGAGCUAGGCCGAGGAGAAGGAUUGGGGUGAUGUAGCAGCGGCAGCCAUGGCAGAGAGGCGAUGAGUUGGGGUCCGACCUUCAUACGCCAUAUUGAGACGAUGAUAGCAAUCUAUUGCUAUGUGACCACCUCGUCCACAAAUUUGACAAGGGCCACGGUCAUGAGAUGCAGGUGCGGGACCAAGGACGGAGCCGCCACGGGAUGGAGGUCGAAAGUUGGAACCUCGGCUGUAGAAACAGGGUCCAGAGGAAGAUCCAUGUGCAGAAUAAUUGCCACGGCCUCUUGGAGAGCUAUUGAAUGAACCACGACCACGGGAGCCGCCGGUAGAGGAGCGGUUUGUGACCAAGGUUGUAGGAGCAGAUUCAAGGGUUAUGUUGUUGUGGUUGCUUAUCAAGAUGAUUAUUGUUGCAAGUUGCAACACAUGUAGACAAGAGCGGGUUUAUUGAAUGAGAAAUUUGUUUGAAUGGUAUACGAACUUUUGCUCCUAUAAACUUUGGUAUAUCAAGUUUUAAAAAUAUCAGAUAGGUAUCUCAUGUUUUCAUCCCGACUUAAUAUUGGUAUAUAUAGCUAUUAAGAUAACAAAUUUACCCUCAGACAAAAAAAAGAUGUGUUCUAGGAUAUUCUCUAUGUGUGCCUUGGCCUUAUGCCAAUAGGAUAUGUAGUUAGACUAGAUCUAUGUAUUCAUAUCCUUACCAUAAUGGUAUUGUGUAAUUCCCUAUAAAGGGCUCCUAUCAAUGAAUAAGAUGAUGACUCUCUUGCUAUCUCUUUGUCUCUACACUUUAUUCUUCAUCACGUUAUCAUGCACUUUGUUCUAACCCUAGAGCCAAUAGCCCACCAUUUUUUUUCCAAACCCUAAAAACCAAAACCCUAAAAUUGGGCAGCCUUGUUUUUCCCGAUUUCUGACCAAAAUUCCGACUGCCCUCCGCCGGAAUUUUAUAUCCCCAGAAAUCUCUUUCCGUCACGGAUCCAACGCUGCCGGCCUCACCCUGAGAACCGGCCGGAAAGUCUCCGAACCGGCCGCCGGAAAAUUCCAGACCACCGCCGCUACCGACCACCGGUUCACCACCUUCCCUUGCUCCGAUCAACCUGAAAUUUUGACAGAAGCUUCCCCAUCCAGAGCUGCUCCUCCUGUCAAAUUUUCAGCCCCAAAUUCGAAGUAUAAGUAGGCGAAACGUUAUUUCUCCUCACGGCAGCCUUUAGAAAGGUAUGUUUUGAAACCUUAAACUCUUCCAAGUUCAAUAACUCAGGGAGGAUAAAAUCAUUUCCUCCUUUCUCCAUCUCCAUUCUAUGCUUGGGAUUUUGUGUGUGCAGGUACCAAAAAUCCCGGAAUUUUAUUCGCGGGUCAAGAGUAUGUUGGAUCACUCUUGUUUCUUUGUCCGGGUUGUGUUUGAUCAACCCCGACCUUUCACCGGAUUGUGUUUGAUCAAUCCGAGGCCUUUUUCAGAAUUGUGUUUGAUCAAUUCGCGGCUUUUUCCGGAUUGUGUAUGAUCAAUCCGAAGGACAAACCAUUUAAAAGCAUCGUUUGUGACCUCUAUCGAGUCUCAUAACAGCUUGGUUUUGUAUGCAAGAGCAAUGUAACAUUCUGCUCCUUUGAGUUUUGACGUACUAGAUGCCUAAGGCGGAUCUUCGCUUGGUAUCUGUGGAACCUUUCAUUGGAAAGGAUUAAACCACAUGUUUUGACCCCCAGGCUAACAAGCCUAGAUGCCGAGAUUUCACAUCUCAUGCGCUCAAAGUUUUGGAAGCGCCACAUCGACAAAAGCCUUCAAUGGCAACCUGUGCAAAAAGUAAUGACCACAAAGUACUGUGGAAUGCACUCAUGGAGCAUUUCUCGAAACGUUCAUAUAACUCUACUUGUUGAGUUAUUAGUCAAGUGGAUUGCUUACCACCUUAAUUGACUACAUAUUGUCGAUGAUCUUUUGUGGCAUCAUGAUCCAUAAUCUUUAGCGGAUUCGAUCAUCAUCAAGUUCUCUAGGUCCUCCAAGUUGGUGUGGAAUUACCAACAAGACUUGAUUUUGAUCAUACAAACGAGAAUUGUAUAUACGCUAAUGUGAUAAACUUAUUUGGGAUUAUCCUCUAAUGUGGGGACAACAGUAUGGGUCAUGGCAACGGCAGAAAACGUCGUGCCGAUGUCUAGAAAAGAGGGGGAGGUGUUGCCGGCUCUAAUAGCGACACUCCCGGUCUAGACACUAUUUUGUCAAAACUACUCACGUCAGCUCAUGACAUUAAUGCAACCGUUGUGGAUCUUCGGAUCACUAGUUCAAGAUUGUCAAGCUCCUUUAAGUUGUGAAUGCAUACAAAAAAGUAUGGAAAAUCAAUAUGAGGACAAGAACGUCAUCCUCAUGAUCGCGAAUAUCAAAGAUUCAGAUCCUGCCCUAGCUACCCAUGACUUUGAUGUCAUCGGCUAGACAUUGAUUUUCGUUCCAAGUUAUAUGUACUAAGGCGUUGUAUCGACGUCCUUUGUCUAUUUCAGACCUUGAUGUACUCACAUUAGCAAUAAUGAAUGCCUUGAGAAUUUUUUCGAAGUGAAACUAUUCUCCUCUUAUGGUUCAUAUUGAUUUACAAUCAAGAUGUACACUUACAUCGUCCUUAGAAACAUGGCAUAUUGUGCCGAUUUUGGUCCCUUCCUUUGAAGGUGACUCUUGGCACUGCAUCCUCAAGGAGGAUCGCCCACGUGUUUCCGGUUAAGUCUUCUACCCUAUAGCGGAUUUUUCAUCAUCAAUUGUUAAACUAGGCUCAUCCAAGCUCAGUGUGAUGUCUUAGAAUUGUCCGAAAUUAAGGAGAUAGUGGUUUUAAGUGUGCAUCGCACUACCGACCCUCCACGGACAUGCCUGGUCAUACUGACUUGGAGUUACCGAAAGCUUUUGAUUUUGGAUCCGCCGACGCUAUUAAACCAAUUGCCGUCUUGCAAAAGACGUUGAAGACUUAUCAAAGCUGGAAAAUUAUCAUCAUGAUCGGAUCCUCUAGGUCCUCUGAGUUAGUUUAUGUUCAUGUCAGGGAGCUUUUGCUAACUAGUUAUGGAGUUUACGACCUUAGAACGACCGAAAGGACUUGGUUUUGAUCAUACACACGUCACUUUUGGCUAAGGCAAAAGCCUACACGCCACCUGCAAGCUUCACAACUUCGCACAUGCCAAAUCUGCGAAAAACAGCAAUCUGUCCCUUCUGGACAGUCAACUUCGUUUGNNNNNNNNNNNNNNNNNNNNAGCUUUAUAUCAUUGGAAAGCUCUAUGAGUCUAGUUUUCAGAACUUUUCACGGUUCAUCCAUAUCUAUUUUAACGAAGAAGUUAUGGCUGUUUUAGUGCGCAAAGGUCAUUCUGCGCGGAAAUUUUUAUGCACUCUCGGGAUUGCAGCUUUUCGUAGCUUCUUUCAAUCCUUCUAAAUGGUUCAAGUAGAACUAUUUACUCGCCUAUCUACUCCUUGUAGUUAUGUCUUAUAGAGACAUUGAGUGCUUCGCAGAUAGUGGAACUAUCCACAACAUUCUAAGGAAUCAUGUUGAGCUUUAAAGACAUUCAUGCUAAUGGUUUUCAUUUGAAAACACAUUGUGAGAAUGAACAAGAAUUCUUUUGUGUAUACCUCCUCAUGAAUGCGAACUGAAGCGCAUCUUGGAGAAAUUCAUGAGUCAAUCUAGUGAACUGUAUGUCACUACGAUUCGAAUAUCGAAUCUCAUGUUGUCGCCAAACAUGAUAUUUGGGACACCGACUCAUAUAGGCUUUGGUUUGACCAAAUUGGUCAACAUGGAAGAGAUAUAAUUGUCCAAAUUUUGAGAAAUUCUCAUGGACAUCCAUUCUUCCGCUCAAAACGAAGACAUUCGAGAUCUAGCAUCACCAUGAAGCAUGGUGGUGACCCGGGGGACAUUGACAUCACCCGAACACGACUCCAACUUCCUGGAGAUCGUCCGGUCAAUUCCUCAAGCAAUUGAGGUGCACCGGCCUUUCCUCGAUGUCGCAUUGCCCCCUUGCAAUGCUCAUUGCUUGUUUUGAAAGCCUAUUCUUUAGCUAAAUAAGGAGUGAGACCGUCCUACGCUAAAUAACACAAAAGUGAACAUUCUAUUCUUACAUAAAAUUAUGUAGAUAGAUACAACCAACUUGCGGACACCUUUUAUGCUUUAUGGUGUUGGUUGAAGUGUUAGCACACUGGUCACGUGUUACACUAUUAUCUACUGCUUAUGCUGCUUAUACUUCUACGGGCUCACUACCCAUUCUUUAAAGAAGUUCAUCGGGAUGUAAGUUGAAGUGUCCUGUACCCCAUGUUCACACGCAAUACGGUCUCACCGAGGCUACGACCAAGCAACUUUAGCUUGUCGCUCGAACAUUAUUGAUACGCACCACUCUUUCUAUUGCGUCUUGGGGCUAUGCAAUAUUUGCAUGCAGCUUUACUAUUCAUCUAUGACCCACCAUCAUUGAAUUUUGUUGUACUACAGCUCGUGACUGUGUACCAGGAUUGACACGAAAUUGCAAUCCUUGAGCUCGGCAGGAUUGAAACGGAUCUCCAAUCCUUGAGCUCGGCUAGAUGUUAUUUCUAGGUGCCAAAUCGCAUUGCCACUGCGUACAAUGAUGGGUCAUUUGAGAUGAAUAAGUUUAGGUUGGAUAUGAACCUCCACCUAUAAUUCGCAUAUGUAGGAACCUUGUCAGGCGAUCUCAUUCACCGCUAAAUUGCGGAUUGUCACUUUGAUGAGACAAUAUUCCCGCCGUUAGGGGGAGAAAAGAACACAAGUGUUUAAGUGGAACGACGUGAAUUGUCGUGGUUUGUCCCCACUAAGUCUCAUCUUGAUCCCAAAUGCUUAUAAUGUUAAAGUGACGAGAUCACAUGCUGCAAAUAUGUCUACAAGGAUUGAUGUCCUACAAAAGGACAUGGCGCGACCAAAAAGUGUUGGUCUUGACGCCAUCACCAUGGAUGGUGAUAUGGUGACGCCAUAUAGUGGCAAAAUUGGUGUCAUAAGGCCGUGUGGCUCCCUAAAAGGAGGGAGGCCCUUAGGUUCGAUAUUGUCUUGCACUAGAAAGAAAGCGAGCUUGGCACAACCUGAUACAUUGAUCAGUGAUACUCAAAUCCGUCUCAUGAAGUCUGAAUUGUGAUUAUCGUUGGGGGACGCCUCAAUGUCAAAUCCAAUCCAUAUAGAGAUCUCUAUAAGUAUUACACUAGUGUACAUGAGGACGUGAGAUAAUGAGUCUACUAUCGAACCACCAUUCGUUGAUGGAUAUCAACUUAGUUGAUUGGCCUAAUGGAAAGAUACGAUCCAGCAUUAACAAAUAGAUAGGUCCUUGGGCAGGUGAUGCCGACACCGCAAGCUAAACCCUAUCAACUAUACCUUUGUUAGAUAGCGUAGUGAGAGUAAGAGCUUAGACUCACCUUAUGGCGCAAGGUCUUUCACUAACACGCACUGGGAUCAACUACGAUGAGAUAUGCUCUCGUAAUGGAUGUCAUUGAACUCCACUACUUUGUCAGUUUGGUAGUUUCCGAAUAACUGAACAUGCAGCCUAUGAAUGUGGUCAUAAUAACAUCUCUAUGGGAUCAGAGAUAUACAUAGAAGNNNNNNNNNNNNNNNNNNNNAAUUGAAGGUCAUGCUGCGCGGAAAUCUGAUUUCCUGCACGAACUUAUGUUUUGAGUUCACAAGCAACCUUCUCCUCAAGAUCUAAGUGUAAAAGAUCAUUUGAGGACAAUACGGCAUGAUUUAGUUAAUCAUUGCCUAAUAUCACAUUUGAAGACAUGUUAAAAAGCAUUGACAUGCUAAGUUGUUGAAACUUCCGUGAUUAGUAAGAAUCAGGAAGAGCCCUAUGAUUGAUGUAAAGAUCAGGGGGAGUGCGAACUUCAGGGGGGAUCUAGCACAUACAUACAUGUCACUAUCAAAUGUGAAGGGUGCGUUGUACUCUUUUUCUCCUACGAUCAAGGUUCAGUUUUUCUCUCACAGGGUUUUUGUGACUUGACGAGGUUUUUGACGAGGCAACAGAUCAGCACCAUCGGCAUAUCAGCGCGCGGCACAAGGGGGAGUGUUCUAGGAUAUUCUCUAUGUGUGCCUUGGCCUUAUGCCAAUAGGAUAUGUAGUUAGACUAGAUCUAUGUAUUCAUAUCCUUACCAUAUUGGUAUUGUGUAAUUCCCUAUAUAAAGGGCUCCUAUCAAUGAAUAAAAUGAUGACUCUCUUACUAUCUCUUUGUCUCUACAUUUUAUUCUUCAUCAAGAUGACAAAUUUACCCUUAAAUUCUCUUCUUUUUUUCUUAGUUUUUUUCUUUGUUUUCAUAUUCGAAUUUUCAUUUUUUAGCUUUUUAUAUUUUUAGGAACGUAGAGAAAAAAUUCAUCGUCACUUUCUCCUUACUAGCUAAUAAUCAGUUUUUCAUCUCAAUCAUCCUUGAAUGUCAACGGCAACAACAAGAUCCUUGAGUGUCAGCAGCAACAACAAUGAUUGAACUUCUGUAUGUUUCCCCUCUUCAAUCUUCUUCAAGUUUAUAAAGGCCAACUGAGAUCAUCAAAUUUCAAAACCUCUUCUAAUAUUUAUGGAUUAUGAAAAACAAAUAAAAAAAACUAAGAAAAAAAGAGAACUUAAGGGUCAAUUGGUCAUCUUAAUGGUUAUAUAUACCAAUCUUAGGUUGAGAUAGAAACAUGAGAUACCGUUUUGAUAUUUUCAAAACUUGAUAUACCAAAGUUCAUAAGAAGCAAAAGUUCGCAUACCAUUUGGACGAAUUGCUCUUAUUGAAUGAAUAAUGAAACCAAUGUUCGAAUUUGACAUUUGGUCAAUUAAGGAACCUCCCCACUGCACUGCCCUUUUCAUAAUAUCAAAUACUAAUAUUUAUAUUAAACUAUUUCUUUUUAUGUAUCUCUAUUUAAGUAGCUAAUUUGGCUUAUAAAACAGUUUUUGGUUGAAUUUUGAAAAACCUAAAUUAUAUUUAUUAAUAUUUUACUAGUUUUAAAUAUUAUAUUUAUUUAUUAAAUGCGAAAAAAGUAAAUUGCAUAAGCCCCGCCUAGUCCCCGCCUAGGCUGUCCAGGCGCUAGGCUAUGGGUCGUCGCCCUCCUACCACCUUUUAGACCAUUGAUUAAGACAUGCUAUUACAGGUUUUAAUUGGAAAUUAGAGGGUGCACCACCACUAAAGCUAGUUAGCUAGUUAUUUGGAACUCUUGUUGAGGCCUAAAGACAGCAAGCACAAGGAAGAGUAAAUGCAAGAUAUCCAAGAUGAGAGCUAGACGUACCUCUGAUGAUGACAAUUUUGGUUAAAAUGUUGAAAAAUACAUUGCAGACAGUGAUGACAGCUAAGGGUUUCUUACAAUGUACUCUAUAUAUAUGAAGCUAAAUAAGAAAUAAAAAUAAUUGAUCUGCUUUUUUUUAAUUUUUUAUAAUUAUCUUGGGUUAUUAUUUCGACUCGAGCAUGUCUUAAUCAGUCUUGACUAAUGAAACAGGCCGGAAGACGAACCUAAAGAAAGAGUCUACUAUUCAUCUGCAACUUGAAUGUGAUAAUUACGGCCUUAUCACGGCAUCGAUCAUUUCAUACUUCUCAAGAUUUGCCUAGGGGGCUCCUUGCCGCCCCUCUCCAAGAUUUUCUUCAUCCUCCAACAGUUGAUUGAGCUCAAUGCAUUAUCUUAGGCGAUCGAGCUGCUUCAAUUUAUUCACAAGUUUUGUUGAAUUUCUGUUAGGACUUUCAAAGUUAAUUACUUCAAUUAAAUAAGGCGAUUGUAUGAUCUCCAUGCAUUCUACUGAUAUAAGAAGAUCUGAAAAAUUAAUUUGGUAAAGUUUGUUCUAAUUAUCUAAUUAAGGGUGAUACCUAACUGGAAGCAAACUAUCAAUUUCGUUUGAACAUGCAGUCAUCAAAGUACGUCUGUCGUACAAUCAGAUCUGUUGAUAAGCAUGCAUGAAAGUGAUUGACCAGGUAUAUUUUCUUCACUUUCAUAUCACGAAACUACCAUUCCUCAUUUUGCUUCUGCGUAUGUGGUUAGAAUAAGGAGUUAAGGACCAUGUCUAAAAGUAAACAUCCCCUACGCAAUUUCAUACACGCAUCGUAUUACAAUAUCCAAAUAGUCAAUAAUCACCAACAACUUCUUGUUCAAUGAUCCACUAUAUAUACGAGUCCCUCCCUCCCUCCAAUGCACCACAAAACAUAUUCCAAGAGAGAUAUAUAUUCAUCAUAGAGUAAAAACCUAGAUUGAAAGAAAAGCAAAGAUGUCUGAUCAAUGCCAAUCCGAAGGUAAUUUUCAUGCAUGAUCUGGUUCCUUAAUUGGUUUCUGCAGUACUUAUAAAGUAAUUGAUCGAUGCGAAUACUAAUUGUUUCUUGUCCAUUUGUAACAAAUAUGUGCAGGUAAGAGUUCAUGGCCUGAACUGUUGGGAGCUCAAGGAACAGAUGCGAAGGCAACGAUUGAGAGCGAAAACUCUUCAGUCACGGCAGUGAUCGUGCAAGAAGGAUCGAUUGUCACUCAAGACAUCCGGUGUGAUAGAGUUCGCGUUUGGGUCGACUCCUAUGGUAUUGUCACCAGGGUUCCUAUCAUCCAGUAAUUGAUCGAUACUAGCAAGUCUGCCCUCUGCUUCAUGCGUAUAUAUUUGGGAAGAAAAUAAAUACUGAAAUAAAUAAGUUUAUUUCCAUGCAAUAUUGAUUGUUAGUCGACAUAGUUUGUACGUUUUCAUUUGGACGUGUGUAGUCUGUUAAUGAUAAAUAAAACACUACUGCAUUUCUCCUCCUUGUUUCUCGAUCCAAAUGUUGUUGAAGGUUUCAACAAUACUUCCCCUACAUACUUCCCCUAAUGAAUUGUAUUUCCAUGCAAUACGUAGUUCGUUUUCCUUUCAGUGUAUUCUCAAUCAAUCUAUAUAAAUAAAGAAACUCUUGCCUUUUCUUCUCUCCUGUAUAUUCU